RNAcentral lists this ribosomal RNA (373 nucleotides) under uncultured bacterium. RNAcentral describes it as "bacterial SSU rRNA". It matches the Rfam family "Bacterial small subunit ribosomal RNA", at positions 521 to 896 of the family's 1533-position model. The record is from RNAcentral.
UAAUACGGAGGUGGCAAGCGUUACUCGGAAUUAUUGGGUGUAAAGGGCAAGUAGGCGGCCUGAUAAGUGAGGGGUGAAAUCUUCCGACUCAAUCGGAAAAUUGCCUUUCAAACUAUCAGACUUGAGGCAGGAAGAGGGAAAUGGAAUUCUCGGUGUAAGGGUGAAAUCUGUAGAUAUCGAGAAGAACACCAGCGGCGAAGGCGAUUUCCUGGUCCUGUUCUGACGCUGAAUUGCGAAAGCUAGGGGAGCAAACAGAAUUAGAUACUCUGGUAGUCCUAGCCGUAAACGAUGAGCACUAGGUGUUGGAGCGUGAGCUUCAGUGCCGCAGCUAACGCAUUAAGUGCUCCACCUGGGGACUACGGUCGCAAGGCUA